UACGGAGAGUGCAAGGAAUGAUCGGAAUUACUGGGCGUAAAGGGCGUGUAGGCGGUUUUGUAAGUUUGGUGUGAAAUCCUGGAGCUCAACUCCAGAACGGCACUGAAUACUGCAAGACUUGAGCGUAGUUAGGGAAAGCGGAAUUCCACGUGUAGCGGUGAAAUGCGUAGAUAUGUGGAGGAACACCUGUGGUGAAGACGGCUUUCUGGGCUAUUGCUGACGCUGAGGCGCGAAAGCCGGGGGAGCAAAC
RNAcentral lists this ribosomal RNA (250 nucleotides) under uncultured bacterium. Its description in RNAcentral is "partial 16S ribosomal RNA". It matches the Rfam family "Bacterial small subunit ribosomal RNA", at positions 524 to 773 of the family's 1533-position model. The record is from RNAcentral.